RNAcentral lists this ribosomal RNA (322 nucleotides) under uncultured Methanomicrobiaceae archaeon. Its description in RNAcentral is "bacterial SSU rRNA". It matches the Rfam family "Archaeal small subunit ribosomal RNA", at positions 322 to 648 of the family's 1478-position model. Lineage: Archaea; Methanobacteriati; Methanobacteriota; Methanomicrobia; Methanomicrobiales; Methanomicrobiaceae. The record is from RNAcentral.
CCUACGGGGCGCAGCAGGCGCGAAAACUUUACAAUGCGGGAAACCGUGAUAGGGGAACUCCGAGUGCCCGUAAAAUCGGGCUGUCCAUCUGUUUAAAUAACAGGUGAAGAAAGGGCCGGGCAAGACCGGUGCCAGCCGCCGCGGUAAUACCGGCGGCUCGAGUGGUGGCCACUAUUACUGGGCUUAAAGCGUUCGUAGCUGGUCUGUUAAGUCUCUGGGGAAAUCUACUGGCUUAACCAAUAGGCGUUUCAGGGAUACUGGCAGACUAGGGACCGGGAGAGGUGAGGGGUACUCCAGGGGUAGGAGUGAAAUCCUGUAAUCC